Molecule: small nucleolar RNA, 131 nt
Organism: Jaculus jaculus (lesser Egyptian jerboa)
Lineage: Eukaryota; Metazoa; Chordata; Mammalia; Rodentia; Dipodidae
Source: Ensembl
GCCAUGAUUAGAGUCAUAUCCUAACAUGGUGCUUUUCCUGAUGUGCUAGAGUUCUCAGAGAGGAUCUGCUGGUCUUGAUUCACUGGUAGGGGCAGUUGGUGCUCCUGUUAGUGCCCAGAUCAGAAAAAUUA